UCAAAGGACCUUAUACAGGAUG
Molecule: microRNA, 22 nt
Filed under: Panagrellus redivivus
Lineage: Eukaryota; Metazoa; Nematoda; Chromadorea; Rhabditida; Panagrolaimidae
Description: prd-miR-7945-3p
Source: miRBase by way of RNAcentral